CAGCUUCUCCUGUCAAUAGGGAAAGACAGACAGCUCCAGCAGUGACCCAAACCAAGAUGGACUAAACACUGUGGAGGCCUCCUGUAAGUACUGGAAGGACAUGAUAAGGUCUUUGCAGAGACUUUAUUAGAUGCAACCUCUCAAGAAACAUCUUUCUAUCAAAAUUGAAACAGAUUGUGGUGUUCGGCAGCACAUUUCUCUGCUAGGGAAACAUUCUUGGUACAGUAUUCUUGCUCUUAGUCAGAUUUUUUUUUUCCAAGGAUUUUCUGAUUAAACAUGGUGAUGAUGGAUAAUAGCAGUCAUACUACGUUUCUACUAACACACACAAGUCUUGCCAGAGGUGAAGUAGAUGCAAUUUGCUUUUAUUUAAAAGCUUUUGCUCAAUAAUACUUUCAUGGUCUGAUCUGGCACUUGUAAUCAAGCAACAUUCCCAGUUCCAUCAGCCCUUAAGAUCCAGAUUUUAUAUGAAAAAAAAGGGGCAGAUCUUUGGCUUGAUGGUUCUCUAGGAUCUCUGCCACAGUUUGGAAAGCAACAUAUUCAUCUACCUGGUGGUUUUGGUAUGUAUAGGAAAGGGAAUAAAUCUUCACAUGACUUGCUGCUGGACACUAAAAAUAUAAUGGAAUGUACUAAAAAAAAAAAUCACAAAAUCCUAAUCCUGAUUGCUUCUUCGAAGGUAAAAGUAAUGAUUUUUAUUUGUGGAUAGUAAAAUACACAGCAAAGGUAUACUAUACUAACUUUAAUGGUAAAAACAACUUAAAAAUUCAAUUUUGAAAAGGAAAACUUGAUAAAACUGUGUAAAAGAUGUAAAACACGCAUAUCAAAUUAUAUUUAUACAAUAUGAUAUGAACAAAACAAAAUAGGUCCUUGAAAUUAAAGCUACUAAUUAAGUUACUUUUCAGUUUACAUUUCUAGUACAGAAAAAGGAGAAGGUAUUGUGUUCUUCAUACAUCUGGAUUUUAAUUCUGUAAUAUAUGUAAGAGUGAAUCUGGAUGCUGUCAUAUGUGCCAACAUAGGUAACCAUAAUUUCUAACCCAUUCAGCAAAAUAAGUAAGAUUUUCAUGUUGAAAUAAUUAUCAUAUUUUAGAGGGAUAAAAGCUAACAGAAUUUUAAGCAUAACUUAAAAAGUGGAUGCUUCCUCUGUACAUGGAAGGAUUUGAACUAAAAUCACAAUACUGGUGAAUAACUCCAGACUUUUGAUGGUAUUAACUGAGAAUGUAACAUAGUUUAUUGUACCUUAAAUCCCCUGUAUACAUCUCAA
This is a long non-coding RNA of Catharus ustulatus (Swainson's thrush), 1258 nucleotides long. RefSeq lists it as uncharacterized. The record is from RefSeq and is a predicted model, not a curated record. NCBI's taxonomy places the organism in Eukaryota, Metazoa, Chordata, Aves, Passeriformes, Turdidae. The transcript is spliced from 3 exons.